GAGUUUGAUCUUGGCUCAGAGUGAACGCUGGCGGCAGGCCUAACACAUGCAAGUCGAGCGGCAGCGCGGGGGCAACCCUGGCGGCGAGCGGCGGACGGGUGAGGAAUGCAUCGGAAUCUACCUCGUUGUGGGGGAUAACCUCGGGAAACCGGGACUAAUACCGCAUACGACCUACGGGUGAAAGUGGGGGACCGCAAGGCCUCACGCGAUGAGAUGAGCCGAUGCCGGAUUAGCUAGUUGGCGGGUAAAGGCCCACCAAGGCGACGAUCCGUAGCUGGUCUGAGAGGAUGAUCAGCCACACUGGAACUGAGACACGGUCCAGACUCCUACGGGAGGCAGCAGUGGGGAAUAUUGGACAAUGGGCGCAAGCCUGAUCCAG
RNAcentral lists this ribosomal RNA (379 nucleotides) under uncultured Gammaproteobacteria bacterium. RNAcentral describes it as "bacterial SSU rRNA". It matches the Rfam family "Bacterial small subunit ribosomal RNA", at positions 9 to 391 of the family's 1533-position model. Lineage: Bacteria; Pseudomonadati; Pseudomonadota; Gammaproteobacteria. The record is from RNAcentral.